GGGAUCGAGCUACCAGCAGUCGAGCGGUACAGGGGGUGCUUGCACCCCGCUGACGAGCGGCGGACGGGUGAGUAAUGCAUAGGAAACUGCCCAGUAGUGGGGGAUAGCCCGGGGAAACCCGGAUUAAUACCGCGUACGCCCUUCGGGGGAAAGCAGGGGAUCUUCGGACCUUGCGCUAUUGGAUGUGCCUAUGUCGGAUUAGCUAGUUGGUGGGGUAAAGGCCUACCAAGGCGACGAUCCGUAGCUGGUCUGAGAGGAUGAUCAGCCACAUCGGGACUGAGACACGGCCCGAACUCCUACGGGAGGCAGCAGUGGGGAAUAUUGGACAAUGGGGGCAACCCUGAUCCAGCCAUGCCGCGUGUGUGAAGAAGGCUUUCGGGUUGUAAAGCACUUUCAGUGAGGAGGAAAACUCUGCGACUAAUACUCGUAGGGCUUGACGUUACUCACAGAAGAAGCACCGGCUAACUCCGUGCCAGCAGCCGCGGUAAUACGGAGGGUGCAAGCGUUAAUCGGAAUUACUGGGCGUAAAGCGCGCGUAGGUGGUUUGAUAAGCGAGAUGUGAAAGCCCCGGGCUUAACCUGGGAACGGCAUUUCGAACUGUCAGGCUAGAGUGUGGUAGAGGGGUGUGGAAUUUCCUGUGUAGCGGUGAAAUGCGUAGAUAUAGGAAGGAACACCAGUGGCGAAGGCGGCACCCUGGACCAACACUGACACUGAGGUGCGAAAGCGUGGGGAGCAAACAGGAUUAGAUACCCUUGGUAGUC
Molecule: ribosomal RNA, 761 nt
Filed under: Marinobacter adhaerens
Lineage: Bacteria; Pseudomonadati; Pseudomonadota; Gammaproteobacteria; Pseudomonadales; Marinobacteraceae
Description: bacterial SSU rRNA
Rfam family: Bacterial small subunit ribosomal RNA
Source: RNAcentral